UACGGAGGAUGCAAGCGUUAUCCGGAUUCAUUGGGUUUAAAGGGUGCGCAGGCGGAGAUAUAAGUCAGUGGUGAAAAACUGCCGCUCAACGGUAGUCUUGCCAUUGAUACUGUUUCUCUUGAGUAUGGAUGAGGUAGGCGGAAUGUGCAGUGUAGCGGUGAAAUGCAUAGAUAUUGCACGGAACACCAAUUGCGAAGGCAGCUUACUGGGCCAUUACUGACGCUCAGGCACGAAAGCGUGGGGAUCAAACAGGAUUAGAUACC
RNAcentral lists this ribosomal RNA (263 nucleotides) under uncultured bacterium. Its description in RNAcentral is "partial 16S ribosomal RNA". It matches the Rfam family "Bacterial small subunit ribosomal RNA", at positions 524 to 786 of the family's 1533-position model. The record is from RNAcentral.